AAAAAAAAAGCAGAAUCACAGUUUCUUAAGGUUUCCAACGAAGGGGACACUUCCAGUUGGUAUCCACCAACUCUCAAAAGUCUCAGACUAGCAAUUAACAGCACGGUGCCCUAAAAUGCUUCCGGGAUGUCUUGUCUCAGACUACCAGCUCAGCUCAGAGAUCUCAGGCCUGAGCCAGGUAGCAUUUCCUAAGCAGGAAACACGUUCAAUCGGACGAAACAGAACGCAGGGGGAAGAGAAGAGAGAACCCCAGGCCUGGCACAGGUCAAGUGCAAGGGGUGCACACCGGACCUGGAGUCUCCAGGCUGCACCAGGAGCACGGGUUCACGUGGCCGCUUUGAGACUUCAGGGGAACAGAGAUGAAGAUGGAACCACCCGCCUCAGGAGUUCCCCUUUCUGCGCUGUGAAACUCUCAAGCACCCUGAGCUUCUGCGCGGUCUCCACUUCCCCCAAGGCUGCCGUCCUUCACUGUUCUAAUAAAAGGGCGGGUUUCUGUUGA
Long non-coding RNA from Peromyscus californicus insignis, 499 nucleotides. RefSeq lists it as uncharacterized. The transcript has 2 exons. The record is from RefSeq and is a predicted model, not a curated record. Lineage: Eukaryota; Metazoa; Chordata; Mammalia; Rodentia; Cricetidae.